RNAcentral lists this ribosomal RNA (500 nucleotides) under Cheloninae sp. BAH_28365_A12. RNAcentral describes it as "partial 16S ribosomal RNA". The record is from RNAcentral. Lineage: Eukaryota; Metazoa; Arthropoda; Insecta; Hymenoptera; Braconidae.
GUCUUUUUGAAUAUAAUUUAAAGUCUAAUCUGCUCAAUGAAAUAAUUUAAAUAGCUGCAAUAAUUUAAUUGUACUAAGGUAGCAUAAUAAAUAGUUUCUUAAUUAGAAUCUAGAAUGAAUGAUUUAAUGAAAAAUUUAUUUUGUAAAUUUUACUAUUUAAACUUUUUUUUAAUUUAAAAAAAUUAAUUAAUUAAAAUAGACAAAAAGACCCUAUAAAAUUUUAUAAAUUUAAUUUUAAUAUAUUUACAUUAAAUUUAUUUAGUUGGGGAAACUUUUAUAUAUAUUAAACUAUAAAAUUUUUUACAUUAAUACAUGUAUAAAUAAAUUUUUAUUUUUUAAAAAUAAAUAAAUUACUUUAGGGAUAACAGAAUAAUUUUUUUAAAAAGUACAAAUUUAUAAAAAAAUUUAUUACCUCGAUGUUGAAUUAAAAUAAAAUUUUUAUGAAAAUUUAAAUAAUUUAAGUCUGUUCGUCUUUUAAUAUUUUACGUGAUCUGAGUUCA